GAUGAACGCUGGCGGCGUGCCUAAUACAUGCAAGUCGAGCGAACAGACGAGGAGCUUGCUCCUCUGACGUUAGCGGCGGACGGGUGAGUAACACGUGGAUAACCUACCUAUAAGACUGGGAUAACUUCGGGAAACCGGAGCUAAUACCGGAUAAUAUAUUGAACCGCAUGGUUCAAUAGUGAAAGACGGUUUUGCUGUCACUUAUAGAUGGAUCCGCGCCGCAUUAGCUAGUUGGUAAGGUAACGGCUUACCAAGGCGACGAUGCGUAGCCGACCUGAGAGGGUGAUCGGCCACACUGGAACUGAGCCACGGUCCAGACUCCUACGGGAGGCAGCAGUAGGGAAUCUUCCGCAAUGGGCGAAAGCCUGCCGGAGCAACGCCGCGUGAGUGAUGAAGGUCUUCGGAUCGUAAAACUCUGUUAUUAGGGAAGAACAAAUGUGUAAGUAACUAUGCACGUCUUGACGGUACCUAAUCAGAAAGCCACGGCUAACUACGUG
This 497-nucleotide ribosomal RNA is filed under the name uncultured bacterium. Its description in RNAcentral is "partial 16S ribosomal RNA". It matches the Rfam family "Bacterial small subunit ribosomal RNA", at positions 28 to 507 of the family's 1533-position model. The record is from RNAcentral.